Molecule: ribosomal RNA, 253 nt
Filed under: uncultured bacterium
Lineage: Bacteria
Description: partial 16S ribosomal RNA
Rfam family: Bacterial small subunit ribosomal RNA
Source: RNAcentral
UACGGGGGGGGCAAGCGUUGUUCGGAAUUACUGGGCGUAAAGGGCUCGUAGGCGGCCAACUAAGUCAGACGUGAAAUCCCUCGGCUUAACCGGGGAACUGCCUCUGAUACUGGAUGGCUUGAGAUUGGGAGAGGGACGCGGAAUUCCAGGUGUAGCGGUGAAAUGCGUAGAUAUCUGGAGGAACACCGGUGGCGAAGGCGGCGUCCUGGACCAACACUGACACUGAUGAGCGAAAGCCAGGGGAGCAAACGGG